UUGUGAACGUACCCGUCAGCGUUGCCUCGGCGGGCGGCCCCUCCCUGGGGCCGCUGCCUCCCUCGGGGGGUGCCCGCCGGCGUACCAAAACUCUUUUGUAUUUUAGUGGCCUCUCUGAGAAAACAAGCAAAUAAGUUAAAACUUUCAACAACGGAUCUCUUGGUUCUGGCAUCGAUGAAGAACGCAGCGAAAUGCGAUAAGUAAUGUGAAUUGCAGAAUUCAGUGAAUCAUCGAAUCUUUGAACGCACAUUGCGCCCGCCAGUACUCUGGCGGGCAUGCCUGUUCGAGCGUCAUUUCAACCCUCAAGCCCUGCUUGGUGUUGGGGUCCUACGGCUGCCGUAGGCCCUGAAAGCUAGUGGCGGGCUCGCUAUAACUCCGAGCGUAGUAGUAAAAUAUCUCGCUAGGGAGGUGUCGCGGGUUCCGGCCGUGAAAGCCCAUCUUUUACACAAGGUUGACCUCGGAUCAGGUAGGAAUACCCGCUGAACUUAAG
This 490-nucleotide ribosomal RNA is filed under the name fungal sp. DS27. RNAcentral describes it as "eukaryotic LSU rRNA". The stretch from base 140 to 293 matches the Rfam family "5.8S ribosomal RNA". Lineage: Eukaryota; Fungi. The record is from RNAcentral.